RNAcentral lists this transfer RNA (83 nucleotides) under Candidatus Carsonella ruddii CE isolate Thao2000. Its description in RNAcentral is "tRNA-Leu (AAG) (tRNA-Leu-AAG-1-1)". It matches the Rfam family "tRNA". From Rfam's summary of the family: Transfer RNA (tRNA) molecules are approximately 80 nucleotides in length. Their secondary structure includes four short double-helical elements and three loops (D, anti-codon, and T loops). Further hydrogen bonds mediate the characteristic L-shaped molecular structure. tRNAs have two regions of fundamental functional importance: the anti-codon, which is responsible for specific mRNA codon recognition, and the 3' end, to which the tRNAs corresponding amino acid is attached (by aminoacyl-tRNA synthetases). tRNAs cope with the degeneracy of the genetic code in two manners: having more than one tRNA (with a specific anti-codon) for a particular amino acid; and 'wobble' base-pairing, i.e. permitting non-standard base-pairing at the 3rd anti-codon position. Lineage: Bacteria; Pseudomonadati; Pseudomonadota; Gammaproteobacteria; Oceanospirillales; Halomonadaceae. The record is from RNAcentral.
GCCGAAAUGGUGAAAUGGUAAACACGUUACUUUAAGAAAGUAAUAAAUUAAUUUUUAUAUGGGUUCAAAUCCCAUUUUCGGUA